This 1261-nucleotide long non-coding RNA is filed under the name Pongo abelii (Sumatran orangutan). RNAcentral describes it as "lincRNA". The record is from RNAcentral. Lineage: Eukaryota; Metazoa; Chordata; Mammalia; Primates; Hominidae.
UUUCCUGUUGCUUUGUGAAGAAGGUUCUUGUUUCUUCUUUGCCUUCUGCCAUGAUUGCCAUGUGAAUCGCACCCCUGGAACUGUGCGGGGCCCACCUGUGUGGCCACACGCAGUGACGCUGAGCAAAGGAGUGACCAGAGAAGUGCAUGGCAAAGCAGAAAGGUGUGCUGUCCUGGAGGACGGGGAGGAAAGCACGCCCAGCAGGCAGGAGCUAUCACGUGGCUGCUGGCUGCUGCUGAGAACCUGGCGUGGGCCACCGUCAUCAGCAGCGUGGAGGUAACUGACGACCUUGGCCAAGAAGUUGGGUGGCAGCGUGGAGGUCAUGCUCAGAGACACUCGCCAUUGCAGUCAGACCCCAUCUGGAUAAUCCUGGAUAAAUCUCAUCUGGAGAUCCUUCACCAGAUCACAUCGGCAAUGACCUGUUCCCCAAAUAAGGCCCCAUGCACAGGUUCUGGGGUGCUAGGAGUGAGCCACCAUGCCUGGCCCAGUUUUUAAUUCUUGGACAUCUCCAAAAUCAGGACAUAUCUUGUCAUUGAAGACGUCUCACCAUAGCGGCCAGCCAUGCAGCCACUGGGCCUGUCUGUGCCUGAACAAGACACUGGCCUGCCUUUGUCUGAACAAGACAGCCUCAGUCUCAAAGCUUGCAGAUGGGUGUAGGCCUGGAAGAAAAUUCUCAAGACAACGGUGGAGCACGCUUGCCCCUAGGAGACCAAGUGGCCGGGAUGUUGAGAAUCAGCCUUUCGCAGAAAUCCCCUAAGCGGGAGGCAGCAGGCUGACUCCAUCAGCCCCAGGCAGGCUUCUGGGCCCUGCAGCUAUGGCUCUUCAUCCUUUUACAUGUUCUUCGAGAAUCAGCUGCACCCUGGAUGCUUCUGACAGCUCAGAGGACAUGAGCAUGAGGACAAGCACAGGGCUUGAUGGCUCAGAGGGAAAUGGAGUUGGAAGAUUUGGACUUAAUAAUGUGCACAAAUUUUAGAAAUAUCUUAACAAAUUUUAUUUUGCUGAUAUCUUUCUUUUAUGUGUGUGCCAAAGUGAUGGCCGGUACAAAUCCAUGUCUAAUUAAGUCCAGAAGAGCUCCUUCAAUAAGCGUAAAAUGAAAGUUAUGAGUGAUAAGAAAGCGUCAUGUCAGUUUAAUUGGCAGCAUUUUCUCUUUUUUAGUGGUUCGUAAAAUAAUGCAGUGCUUUGCUAUCGACGGUGUCUUAAAUUCUGUGAAUAUUCCAAGUUAAAUCUAAUGCUGAAUAGCCACUGUGUGCAAGGCGGGUGA